RNAcentral lists this ribosomal RNA (448 nucleotides) under uncultured bacterium. Its description in RNAcentral is "bacterial SSU rRNA". It matches the Rfam family "Bacterial small subunit ribosomal RNA", at positions 335 to 803 of the family's 1533-position model. The record is from RNAcentral.
ACUCCUACGGGAGGCAGCAGUAGGGAAUAUUGGACAAUGGGCGAAAGCCUGAUCCAGCAAUGCCGCGUGAGUGAUGAAGGCCUUAGGGGUUGUAAAGCUCUUUUACCCGGGAUGAUAAUGACAGUACCGGGAGAAUAAGCUCCGGCUAACUCCGUGCCAGCAGCCGCGGUAAUACGGAGGGAGCUAGCGUUGUUCGGAAUUACUGGGCGUAAAGCGCACGUAGGCGGCUAUUCAAGUCAGAGGUGAAAGCCCGGGGCUCAACCCCGGAACUGCCUUUGAAACUAGAUAGCUUGAAUCCAGGAGAGGUGAGUGGAAUUCCGAGUGUAGAGGUGAAAUUCGUAGAUAUUCGGAAGAACACCAGUGGCGAAGGCGGCUCACUGGACUGGUAUUGACGCUGAGGUGCGAAAGCGUGGGAGCAAACAGGAUUAGAUACCCUGGUAGCGACUGA